UACGUAGGGUGCGAGCGUUGCCCGGAUUUAUUGGGCGUAAAGAGCGUGUAGGCGGCUUUACAGGUCCGUUGUGAAAACUCGAGGCUCAACCUCGAGACGCCGGUGGAAACCGUAAGGCUAGAGUCCGGAAGAGGAGAGUGGAAUUCCUGGUGUAGCGGUGAAAUGCGCAGAUAUCAGGAGGAACACCCGUGGCGAAAGCGGCUCUCUGGGACGGUACUGACGCUGAGACGCGAAAGCGUGGGGAGCAAACGGG
This 253-nucleotide ribosomal RNA is filed under the name uncultured bacterium. RNAcentral's name for it is "partial 16S ribosomal RNA". It matches the Rfam family "Bacterial small subunit ribosomal RNA", at positions 524 to 776 of the family's 1533-position model. The record is from RNAcentral.